RNAcentral lists this long non-coding RNA (615 nucleotides) under Cairina moschata (Muscovy duck). RNAcentral's name for it is "domestica (muscovy Duck (domestic type)) lncRNA (ENSCMMG00000003497.1)". The record is from RNAcentral. Lineage: Eukaryota; Metazoa; Chordata; Aves; Anseriformes; Anatidae.
UCCUCCUCCUCCUCCUCCUCCUCCUCCUCCCCCCCCGGGGGUGGGGCCGGCGCGGGGGGAGCCUUCGGGGGCAUCUUCGUCAUCCUCGGCGUUGGAAGAGCCCUUCAGCGGCGGCGUCAACGUCAACGUUUUGAAGAGCCCGCCCAUUGUUGUUGGCCUUGGAAGAGCCCCGUGGUCAUCGUCAGCGUGAUGAAGAUCUCCCAUCAUCAUCGUCAUCAUUGGAAGAGCCUUCGUCAUCAUCAUCGUCAUCAUCAUCAUCGUCAUCUUCAUCAUCGUCAGCGUUGGAAGAGCCCUUCAUUGUCAACAUCAACGUUUUGAAGAGCCCGCCCAUUGUUGUUGGCCUUGGAAGAGCCCCGUCGUCAUCGUCGGCGUGAUGAAGAUCUCCCAUCAUCAUCGUCAUCAUUGGAAGAGCCUUCGUCAUCAUCAUCAUCGUCAUCAUCAUCAUCAUCUUCAUCAUCGUCAACGUUGGAAGAGCCCUUCAGUGGCGGCGGCAUCGUCAUCGGCGGCGUCGGCGGCGUUGUCGGCGUCAACGUUUUGAAGAGCCCGCCCAUUGGUGUCGGCCUUGGAAGAGCCCCGUGGUCAUCGUCGGCGUGAUGAAGAUCUCCCAUCAUCAUC